UAAGGAAUAUUGGGCAAUGGAGGCAACUCUGACCCAGCCAUGCCGCGUGAAGGAUGACUGCCCUAUGGGUUGUAAACUUCUUUUGUAUGGGAAUAAACUCUCGUUCGUGAACGAGACUGAAUGUACCAUAAGAAUAAGCACCGGCUAACUCCGUGCCAGCAGCCGCGGUAAUACGGAGGGUGCAAGCGUUAUCCGGAUUUAUUGGGUUUAAAGGGUGCGUAGGCGGGAUUGUAAGUCAGUGGUGAAAUCUUCCGGCUCAACCGGAAAACUGCCAUUGAUACUGCAGACCUAGAGUACAUUUGAAGUGGGCGGAAUGUGUCAUGUAGCGGUGAAAUGCUUAGAGAUGACACAGAACACCGAUUGCGUAGGCAGCUCACUAAACUGUAACUGACGCUGAGGCACGAAAGCGUGGGGAUCAAACAGG
Molecule: ribosomal RNA, 424 nt
Filed under: uncultured bacterium
Lineage: Bacteria
Description: bacterial SSU rRNA
Rfam family: Bacterial small subunit ribosomal RNA
Source: RNAcentral